CUCACGCUCAAUUCCGCUUUGGCAGCCCAGGGGUAAGACAGAGGGAAAGACUGGGGAAGGCUGGUAGAGGAGAGGGAUUUGGGGCCUCUGAGGUUGGUGAUUCGGUGAGCGCACAGUAAGCGGGGGCUGGAAUGGGAGAAAAAGUAGAGAUGGCUUGCUGGGCUUUUAGCCUAGCAUGGACACCGCACUAGCUGAAGACCUUUUAUGGGAUGGCAGUUUGGUGAGGGAGAAGUGGCCUGUUCCUGGAAGACCGGAGGGUUGGGAGCAGUCGGGGUGUUUGUGAGCUGAAGCAGUGCGUCUAGAAGAAUGGGUAGAAGGUAUAGAUUGGGUUUUAACAAUUACAGGGGUUUCUGAGGUAGAGGGAAAGUCAGGUUGGGAAGAGACAUACAAGUCAUGCAGUUGGAUUUUACUUAGCUUGAGUAAAAAGUGGAUAUUGGAAACGGCUAAAGCGUGACGAAGUCCGUUCAUUGUCCAUUUUGAAAUGUCCAGUAUAGAUGGGGGGCAGCAGGAGGUGAAGAUCUGGAUGAUCUGGAUGGCGGAGGAGAGGAUUGAUUCCUGUGUCUUAGUGUGCGGGUUGCUGAGUAAGAAGCUCUGCAUCCUCAGUUUGGAGCAUCCGGAUUGGUGAUGGCGUUGGAUGGAGGAAUGUCUUUGCUGGGAUCAGAUGGCUGUGAUGGAGUAUGGAGGGGGGGAUUUGAAGAAUUCCUCGUCGGAAGGAAAGAGCUCUAGUUUGGACAUCUUGCUGACUUGAGGGUAGGGCCAAUUGUCAGGAGAAUUGUAACGGAAAGUAGAUUGUGUUCUGUCAACAGAGGAUGUGCACAAGGCAUCUCAGCUGCUCAGCAAUUCAAAUGUGCAAGUUAACUAUUUGGAUGAGCAUGACAUGACUCCUCUCAUGUACGCUGCCAAGAAGAGUAAAGCAGAAAUGUGCAGACUGCUACUGCAGCACAGAGCUGACUUCAGCUCCAGUGAGCAUGAAUACGGUUAUACUGCAUUCAUGUUUGCUGGUCUCUCAGCUCAUCUGAAAUAUUCUCCACAAAUAUUCUCUGGAAAUUAUGGAGAUGAUAUUAGAUGCUGGGGCAGAGACAGACCUUGUCAACCCUGUAGGACGAAUGGGCCUUUGUGGGUCAGCAUGACCGUGUGACAGUGAUUAACAAUUUCUUCUCUUGUGCAAGGAUGGAGUUCUACACCAGACCCCAGGGAUCAGAAAGAGAGCCCAACUACCCCCUAAACUAGCAGGACCUUUAUAUAAAAUUUACAUAAAAUCAUCAUGACUACUAACCUUAACCCUGUCAAGGGGAACGACCCAACAGCCUUCUCGGUUCUGACCCAGGCAUUGACGGGCCAGAUGGUGCUCAUGGACACAGAGGAGUGUGCUACAUGUGGGGAGAGAGGGGUGCCGACAAGAAGUGCUCCUUCUGCAAAAUGGUGAUCUACUGUGGGCAAGUGUGUCAGAGGCUCCACUGGUUCACCCAUAAGAGGCAGUGCAGAGCCCUUGUGCAACAGAAAGAAGCUCGACACAACAGCCCUCCCAAACUGAGAGAACUCUUUACCAAUGUUAAAGUUCAAGACAUUAGCAGAUUCCCUAAGGAGUGAGAUUUUUAUAAUGGUGCUUUUGGUCCUGGCCAGUAUGAGGUGUUAUCUAAUUACAAAGUAAUUAAUUUGAUUAUCUAAUUACUUUUUAGUACAAAAAGUACUGUAGCGCAUUACUGUACAUUUCAAGUUCUUGUAAUUAGAUUACAGUUACUGACUUUCAAAUAAGGUAAUUACUUUUAAUUACUUGGGUUACACAUAUUUCUAAAAUAGUAUUAUACUGUAUAUGUAUAAUACAUUUAUAUCAUGAAUUACAUUAAUAUGUACAUCUCUUUGUAAGACUGCUGAAGGGUGUGCACCCCUAACGAGCCAAACACACUGAGGAAAACAUACAUUAUUUUGAAUUCGUUGAGUGGAAAAACUAAAGUUUUUCUGUGAAAAGUGUUUUAGAAAGUAACAUAAAAGUAAUUAGUAAUGUGAUUACCUUUUUGAUGAAGUAAUCAGUAAUCUGAUCACACUUUUAGUGUAGUUCACACCAAGAACUAAAACUAUAAUGAUAGUCCACACCACAACUAUAAUGAUAAAGACACAGAGGAAUGAAAUCAUUGGGAUCACUUUCAGAAUGAUUUUUUUUUCCAGCUAAUGAACUAUAAAAACAUUGACAGGCAAUCAAAAUCCAUCCAACUUUAAAGGGCUUGAGCCGCAACGUGCACUCAUCUUCAAAAUAACACAUUCCAGCACCGCAUCGCCACUUAUUACACACAAACUAAAUGGAAACUGCUGCCCAAGAACCGGCAAUAUUUCCUCUGCAUUCUUCUUCAGUAUUAACAAAGGUGAGAUAAUGAAAGGCUAACGCAAACUGGUAGCAUAAAAUUACCUCACGUAUCCAGCGUCUCCUUUGAAGUUGUAUCCGCCUGUUUUUCUUUUGGUUUCUUUGCGAAACAUAGAGCAGUAGCAGGUCAUCUACAUCCAUUUUCUUGACUGUGAACAUAACUGCAGGGUGUGCUUAGAAUAAACAGAAUGUUAUGGCCCAUUGGUGUGGAUGCUAAUAUAGUUAUCGUUAUAGUUCUUGGUGUGAAUGGGCCUUUAUAUUAAUUAGUAAUUUGUAUUGAAUUACUUUUUUUUUUUUUUUUUGAAACCUACUCAGCUGGUCAUGGCAUUGAAGGUGUGAGAAGAAAUCUUGCUUGAUGAUGAAACCAACUUCUUUAAUAUAAAAUAUUGGCACUUUCCAUGACUACAUUCAUUAAACUCAACCAUUCAACCCUGUUACCCAAGUUACUGUAAGACAAAUUGAUUAAACUAAUACUUUUCUUCAUACUGUAUAUCUAACAACGUUUAUAGAAAUAUUCCAAAUUUUGGUGACAGGGUUGCAUGAUUUUGACCAUUUAAAACCCUUGUUUAAAACCCUUUUUGACCUACUGGGGCUGAAGGCCCUAAUUUGUACCCUAUUCUUGAAAGCAUAUUAAUGUUGAUUAUGGAAAUAUAUUGUUUACAGUUUUACUGUAAUCUCCAAUGUGACUCUUGUUAUAUAAAAUAUUCCUGCUCCUUUUCAA
RNA transcript from Myxocyprinus asiaticus (Chinese sucker), 3080 nucleotides. It is a transcript of the gene named ankyrin repeat and MYND domain-containing protein 2-like, with no coding region annotated. The record is from RefSeq and is a predicted model, not a curated record. The transcript has 7 exons. NCBI's taxonomy places the organism in Eukaryota, Metazoa, Chordata, Actinopteri, Cypriniformes, Catostomidae.